CCAAUAGCGUAUAUUAAAGUUGCUGCGGUUAAAAAGCUCGUAGUUGAAUUUCGGAAUUGAUGCAUCGGUCGUGCCUUAAGGGCAUGAACUGGUGUAGCCAAUUUCUCACCUUCUGGUGAAUUGUUGAUGUUCUUAAUGGGUGUCUCAAUGAACUAGAAUUUUUACUUUGAAAAAAUUAGAGUGUUUAAAGCAGGCAUUAAUUUGCUUGAAUACAUUAGCAUGGAAUAAUGAAAUAGGACAGUGGUUCCGUUUUGUUGGUUUCUAGGAUCACGUAAUGAUUAAUAGGGACAGUUGGGGGCAUUAGUAUUCAAUUGUCAGAGGUGAAAUUCUUGGAUUUAUUGAAGACUAACUAUUGCGAAAGCAUUUGCCAAGGAUGUUUUCAUUAAUCAAGAACGAAAGUUAGGGGAUCAAAGACGAUUAAGUACGUCGUAGUCCUAACCAUAAACUAUACCGACUAGGAAUCAGACGAUGUUAAUUUUUUAAUGACUCGUUUGGUACCUUACG
This 504-nucleotide ribosomal RNA is filed under the name uncultured Glomeromycotina. Its description in RNAcentral is "partial small subunit ribosomal RNA". It matches the Rfam family "Eukaryotic small subunit ribosomal RNA", at positions 591 to 1092 of the family's 1831-position model. The record is from RNAcentral. Lineage: Eukaryota; Fungi; Glomeromycota.